RNAcentral lists this ribosomal RNA (492 nucleotides) under uncultured bacterium. Its description in RNAcentral is "partial 16S ribosomal RNA". It matches the Rfam family "Bacterial small subunit ribosomal RNA", at positions 30 to 507 of the family's 1533-position model. The record is from RNAcentral.
AUUGAACGCUGGCGGCAUGCUUUACACAUGCAAGUCGAACGGUAACAGGCCUUCGGGUGCUGACGAGUGGCGCACGGGUGAGUAAUGCAUCGGAACGUGCCCAGAGGUGGGGGAUAACGCAGCGAAAGCUGUGCUAAUACCGCAUGUGAUCUGAGGAUGAAAGCGGGGGACCAAGCAGCAAUGUUUGGCCUCGCGCCUCUGGAGCGGCCGAUGUCAGAUUAGGUAGUUGGUGGGGUAAAGGCCUACCAAGCCGACGAUCUGUAGCUGGUCUGAGAGGACGACCAGCCACACUGGGACUGAGACACGGCCCAGACUCCUACGGGAGGCAGCAGCGGGGAAUUUUGGACAAUGGGCGCAAGCCUGAUCCAGCAAUGCCGCGUGCGGGAAGAAGGCCUUCGGGUUGUAAACCGCUUUUGUACGGAACGAAAAGGCUCUGGCUAAUACCUGGGGCUGAUGACGGUACCGUAAGAAUAAGCACCGGCUAACUACGUG